CCAGACCAAGGGGGCAUUGAACCGCCGUCCGUAACUGGUCACUUGGACGGUGGGGAGCCAGUAGUGAAACCGACCUUCGCAGG
Molecule: non-coding RNA, 83 nt
Filed under: Chloroflexota bacterium
Lineage: Bacteria; Bacillati; Chloroflexota
Description: Chloroflexi bacterium c-di-GMP-II sequence
Rfam family: Cyclic di-GMP-II riboswitch aptamer
Source: RNAcentral